UGGGGAAUAUUGGACAAUGGGCGCAAGCCUGAUCCAGCCAUGCCGCGUGAGUGAUGAAGGCCCUAGGGUUGUAAAGCUCUUUCAACGGUGAAGAUAAUGACGGUAACCGUAGAAGAAGCCCCGGCUAACUUCGUGCCAGCAGCCGCGGUAAUACGAAGGGGGCUAGCGUUGUUCGGAAUUACUGGGCGUAAAGCGCACGUAGGCGGAUAUUUAAGUCAGGGGUGAAAUCCCGGGGCUCAACCCCGGAACUGCCUUUGAUACUGGAUAUCUCGAGUCCGAGAGAGGUGAGUGGAAUUCCGAGUGUAGAGGUGAAAUUCGUAGAUAUUCGGAGGAACACCAGUGGCGAAGGCGGCUCACUGGCUCGGUACUGACGCUGAGGUGCGAAAGCGUGGGGAGCAAACAGGAUUAGAUACCCCCGUAGUCC
This 424-nucleotide ribosomal RNA is filed under the name uncultured bacterium. RNAcentral's name for it is "bacterial SSU rRNA". It matches the Rfam family "Bacterial small subunit ribosomal RNA", at positions 355 to 796 of the family's 1533-position model. The record is from RNAcentral.